This 740-nucleotide long non-coding RNA is filed under the name Elaeis guineensis (African oil palm). Its description in RNAcentral is "long non-coding RNA (EGUI_LNC037373)". The record is from RNAcentral. Lineage: Eukaryota; Viridiplantae; Streptophyta; Magnoliopsida; Arecales; Arecaceae.
AAUUAUACACUACCAAUUCAAAAGGCAUCUAGCCAUGCAAUGCUACAUAAGAUCCUAUCUUCUUUUGUGCAUUGAUGGAAUAUUCGUGAAAGGAAAGCUUUGAAUAGUCACCUUUCCUUAGCCCACAAUCUUGAGCCCUUUGUUGCCUAAACCAAGGUGAUCCUAGAUUUUGUUUUCCCUCCCGUACAUUCUGCUCCUUUGCCCUUCUUGUAAAUACUUUCACAUUUAUUAAAUAAAUCCUCAAGGAAGCCUUGCCUCCUCCCAUUUACGUUAAAAAAAAAAGUUUAGGGUCAUGUGACAUAUGAAUUACCAUCCCAAUCCCAGCUAUUUAUUUGUUGGAUGGCAGAAAGAGGCAUGAAUCGAACCUCCUGUACAAUAUGAAAGCCAUAAACUUGAUGCAAGAGUUGUAUAUUUCAAGAUGAGAAACCAUAUUACCAGCAUUAAUAGUUCUAGCUAGAUCAGGCAUUCGAACAAGGACUUGGUAAAGAUACCAGUACAAACAUCAUCGCUAAUGACCUGUAGGUAUCCAGGACAUCCCGCCAUGACCGAGACGUAUUUUUUGGAUCCAAUUGCUGCAGGCCUUGAGUUUUGCCUUCCUGCAUUGAUGCUUCAAUUGAGCCACCGGUAUCCGAGAAUACAAUAUAAAGAAAUGAGGCAGCAGUUCACUUGUUUGAUGCUCCUAAUAGCAGUAAUAGAAGAAAGCAGCAGACCAUGAAGGAUUAGAGAAAAGGACACCCGUG